CGUGGAUUAGGCAUGCAAGUCGAACGGUAGUAAACCUUCGGGGUUUAGAGAGUGGCGAACGGGUGAGUAACACGUAGGUAAUCUACCCUCAAAACGGGGAACGAACCCAGGGAAACUUGGGCUAAUACCGGAUGCGUGCAAGCAAUGUUUUGGCUGUUAAUGCUAUUCACGGAAGUGAGUAGUGUUAAUGGUUGAGAGCAUUAUUUGCAUAAAAGGUGGUAUAUGCUGCCGUUUGAGGAUGAGCCUGCGUCCUAUUAGUUAGUUGGUGAGGUAAUGGCUUACCAAGGCGAUGAUAGGUAGGCGGCCUUAACGGGUGGUCGCCCACACUGGGAUUGAGAGACGGCCCAGACUCCUACGGGAGGCAGCAGUCGAGAAUAGUCUACAAUGGACGGAAGUCUGAUAGUGCGACGCCGCGUGAACGAAGAAUCCCUUCGGGGUGUAAAGUUCUUUUAUACGUGAGCAGUGCCCUUUAUAUGAAUAGUAUAGAGGGAGGGAUUUAAGCGUAUGAAUAAGCAACGGCUAACUCCGUG
This 530-nucleotide ribosomal RNA is filed under the name uncultured bacterium. RNAcentral describes it as "bacterial SSU rRNA". It matches the Rfam family "Bacterial small subunit ribosomal RNA", at positions 43 to 507 of the family's 1533-position model. The record is from RNAcentral.